RNAcentral lists this ribosomal RNA (165 nucleotides) under uncultured bacterium. Its description in RNAcentral is "partial 16S rRNA". It matches the Rfam family "Bacterial small subunit ribosomal RNA", at positions 355 to 511 of the family's 1533-position model. The record is from RNAcentral.
UAGGGAAUCUUCCACAAUGGGCGAAAGCCUGAUGGAGCAACGCCGCGUGUGUGAUGAAGGGUUUUCGGCUCGUAAAACACUGUUGUAAGAGAAGAAUGACAUUGAGAGUAACUGUUCAAUGUGUGACGGUAUCUUACCAGAAAGGAACGGCUAAAUACGUGCCAA